AGCCAGACUCCUACGGGAGGCAGCAGUGGGGAAUAUUGGGCAAUGGGCGCAAGCCUGACCCAGCAAUGCCGCGUGAAGGAAGAAGGCUUUCGGGUUGUAAACUUCUUUGACAGGGGAAGAGCAGAAGACGGUACCCUGAAAACAAGCCACGGCUAACUACGUGCCAGCAGCCGCGGUAAUACGUAGGUGGCAAGCGUUGUCCGGAUUUACUGGGUGUAAAGGGCGUGUAGCCGGGCUGACAGGUCAGAUGUGAAAUCCGGGGGCUCAACCCCCGAACUGCAUUUGAAACUGUUGGUCUUGAGUAUCGGAGAGGCAGGCGGAAUUCCUAGUGUAGCGGUGAAAUGCGUAGAUAUUAGGAGGAACACCAGUGGCGAAGGCGGCCUGCUGGACGACAACUGACGGUGAGGCGCGAAAGCGUGGGGAGCAAACAGGAUUAGAUACCCCGGUAA
This 449-nucleotide ribosomal RNA is filed under the name uncultured bacterium. RNAcentral's name for it is "bacterial SSU rRNA". It matches the Rfam family "Bacterial small subunit ribosomal RNA", at positions 329 to 793 of the family's 1533-position model. The record is from RNAcentral.